Brienomyrus brachyistius is the source of this 506-nucleotide long non-coding RNA. RefSeq lists it as uncharacterized. The record is from RefSeq and is a predicted model, not a curated record. The transcript is spliced from 3 exons. Lineage: Eukaryota; Metazoa; Chordata; Actinopteri; Osteoglossiformes; Mormyridae.
UGAGUGUCUGAGGGAGGAAAGGAGAGGAUAAGUUGAGUGUCAUCUGUAUGGGAGUGAUAUGAGAACCUAUGUAACGAUAAGACCUCGCUAAGAGAUCUAGUACAGAGGGAGAGCAGAACAGGACCAAGAACUGAGCCCUGAAGGACGCCAGUGGAGAGUCUGUUUCAGCUUGUACACAGGCAUGCAGUUAGCCAAGGAUGGAUGGGAUGGGUCCCCUUCAGAUUCAGAGUGACCUCGAUCCCCCCCCCCACUUACAGGACAAAAAAAAACAGCAUCUGCCGUCUUUGUUGGCUUAUUCCACUACAGUGUGCUGUUGCCAGCGCAGGUCCAGUAACCGAGCCUCCUUUGUCCAUAAUGGCCAUUCCGGUAUCUGUGCUGAAUGACCAGCUGUCUUCGACAGACACGGGUUCGUACACUGUCCUUUUUGAACUUAUAGCCACACCUACUACACUUUUGGGUGUUGCUCGGACUCUUACCUCAGUCACACAUGGUUGGGAUGUCAUUAG